AUCUUUAGGAGCAAUUAAGCCAAUGAGAAAUCAGACCCACACCCCAAUUCUGAUGUAACAGCCUUGGGAAAGAGGUUGCAGUGAAAAGCUGGUCCUGCUGUGGUGGAGAGAAUGGAGGAAAGAUAAUAAAAGGCCAAACCUUUGCUCCAACUUUCUCCUUAGCUUCCCUUUGGAUCUGGAAAGCUGGGGACCCACACGGCAGAGCCAUGGUACUGGAGGAGCCAUUAACAACGAGGCUCCUUCUGUAAGGUUGCCUGGAUACUGCAUCUGGCUGACAGAGUCCCCAGACAGAACUUGAAUAGGCACUGCCAGGGUGUGUACUUCUAUGACUCUCCUUUUGCAAUGGGCCCACACCACCCACCUCAUUUUUCUAAUAAGCAUGAGAAAGAACAAGGUAGAUCCAUAAAUACCUGUAUGGAAUGAGCCCAAGAUAAAGUGUUAGUGAAAAACACUAAAAGCAACAUGUGAAGCCAUGUGUACAGUGCACCUCCAUUUGUAUAUAAAAAGAAACAUGCAUACAUAUUCACACACAUAUGUAUGCUUGCAUAUGCAUAUAAAAUGUUUAGAAUGUAAGGGAAGACUGGGUAACCAACUCAUGGGCUAGGGUGAGGGAGAAACAAUUUUCACAAUGUGCUUCUUUGUUCUUUUUUAAAAAAUUUAAUGCAUUUACUAUAUUCACAUAUAUGUUUCAAUUAAAAAGCUAAAUAAAAUAAAAUAUUCCAAUCUUCUUUAUUUCCCCAUAGAGCUUUCAAUAAACCUCUCUUUCUUGAAGUUACCUGAGAAUGGAUCCAUUCCCUGCAACUGAAGAUUCUAAGGAACUGGGUUUCUCAGUAUACAAUGGGAAUGGUUGGGAGGAGGUAAAGAGUAGAAGACAGUAUCAAGAAUCCAGAGCCCAGCACCUGUAGUCCUAACUAUUCAGAUUCCUUGAGCCCAGGAGUUUGAGUCCAGCCUGGACAACAUAUUGAGACCCCCAUCUCUCUAAAAAAAAAGAGAAAGAAAGAAGGAAAGAAAAAAAGAAAGAAAGAAAGAAAGAAAGAAAGAAAGAAAGAAAGAAAGAAAGAGAAAGAAAGAAGGAAAGAAGGAAAGAAGGAAAGAAAGAAAGAAAGAGAAAGAAAGAAAAGAAGAUUGUAGCUAGGGGGAGAGUAGGUGAAAAGAUGAACAACAUGACCGGGAAGAUUUCCUAAUCUCACCACAGCCUGGCUCUACCUUAAGGUAGGUAGAUGGACAAGUAUAGCUACCUGGGUCACAGAUGCUAAGAUGACAUCCAGACAGGUCAGAAAUUAAGAAGAAAGGCAGAUGAGGAAGGAUAAACCCUAUCUUAUAAGACAAAUUCCUGGCACUCAUUUCUUUUUUAAGUUUCCUUUUUGCUUUCCCUAGUCCUGCAUUUUUGUUGAAGGCAGAAGAUUAGAGAGAGACAAAGAAUGGCUGAGUUGAUAUCCUUGUAGUUACAGUCUGAGUUCCCAGGUAGUACUGGAAGACGUGAGGUUAGCAGAUGUAGUCUUUACUUCAGGAGAAAAAGAAGAGUUUUCUGCUAGAAAUUGGUUCUAGUCUCUUUUCUACCCUCCUCCCAUGCCAUCUCCCCAGUUAUAGAAAAGAUUAGUCAUGUCCCUGCAGGGUUAGCUCCCUAUAGGGCCAGUGACAGCAUCCUUCAGCUACUGCUGGUAGGGCUAGGACUUCACUCAGUAGAGAAGCCUGGUGUAAAUGGAAGAAAAUGACCAAAGAAAAGCGGAACGUGACCAGGCAUAGAUGUUUGCCACCAGGAACUGGGGAGGGAAAGGACCCUGAGGCUUUCUCGCCUAGACCCAGACCACAGCCCUGUGCAGACAGGCACAGAAGCCUGAGCUCAGUAAGAUGGAGCCAGCCAUCUACACCUCAGCCAGACAGCUGUCCCCUCAGACAGACAUUUCCAAACAGCCCAGGUGGUCAGAAUGGGACAUGAACAUAGGCGUACUCAUGGAGACAUGCAGGAACAUGAGAUCAAAGGCUCGCCAAACUUUCCAUCACAGGGACCUGCCAUGGGGAAAAGGGAGGGGGUGAGAUUAGAUAAUAAGGACCUCCUGACAGAAAGAGUGGUUAGAAGUGGGACUGGUGCAUACAGGAGGAUCUGUGGCCUUUCUUCCUCCCUCUUCCUACACAGAUUUGAAAACUGCCAGCCCCCACCACUGCCCCACCCCACCAGGUCAUAGUUCCUAUUAAGUUCCAUAGGAACAUUUCUGCACUGCAUCCUGGCCAUCCUGGCUUCAGGGUCUCCACAGAGUGAGCCCAUGUCAUACCCCUCCCCACUUCAGGAGGAACAAGACAAAAGGGCCAGGUGAGACCUCAGUGACAACCACCUUGUCCUCCAAGAAGAAGCAAGCAGGACAAGACUUAGGGGUGGGAGAUGGGGGCAGGCGAGGGGAACUUCAUAAAGGAGACCUUGACUUUGGGGUUGUUAGGAAAAAGGUGGCUUUAGACAGGACUCCAGAUCUGACGAGGUGGGUCUCAGGCACAUAGGAAGAUUUCCUAAUAUCUCCAGAACCUGGCUCUACCUUAAGGUAGGUAGAUGGACAAAUGUAGACACCUGGGUCACAGAUGCUAAGAGGGCAUCCAGACAGGCCAGCAGCUAAGAAGGGAGACAGAUGAGCAUGCAUAAACUGUAUCUUAUAAGACAGAUUCCUGGCACUCUUUUCUUAUUUAAAUUGCCCUUUUGUUUUCCCUAGUCUUUAAUAAAAGCUUGACUGAAGGUACCAAGGUGUGCUGAAGUGGAAGCAAAGUUCUCCAAAGUCCAGCAUGGUAGACAUCAGUGGUGGUAACCAAGGACAGACCCCAAGGCAAGGUGAACCUCAAAAAUGGAACCUCAAGUCUAUGCAGUCCAGCUGCCCUCCCCACCAGAAAGUCCUUGUUCCAGCCCAACAUCAGUGCCUCUGAGUUUGUUUACUAGAAACAAAGGAAGAAUUUCCUUGUAAAAAUAUAGACAGAGUAGUCCCUGGCUUUCUCCUCUUGCAGGAAGGAUGGAUUCUCCCAUUCCAUACCAUCUUUCCCCCACACUGGCCCCAGAAAUACUUAAUUCAACUAUGUGAAAAUAAAGAUUGUUUUUGGUUUGAGGGCAUAGGGAUCCAUUUAUCCUUAUUCUUUAUGAGGCACUAAAUUAGCUUUGUAUGUUAUUAAAUGUGUCUCGUCAAUGCUGUUGGCAUUGUUUCAUUUUAACUUCUAUUUGGUAAUGUUCAAUUUUCUGAAUGUGUGGAUCACUUAGCAUGAGCAGAAAACCCUGCAAAAGUGGUGGAGGUAAGGAAAGGUUGUAAUAAUGGUUACAAAGCAGGAGCAGCAUAAGGCUACCUAGGUGGUACGGUUUGAGUUGUUUUGGGAAAGCCCUUCUUAAUCACCUCUCUCUAGGACACCACCCCAACACACAUGAAAUUCCGCUGAUGUCUUUUUGGUUGCCACUAUGUUCCCCAAGUUCUUUUAAUAUGCAAACACUGGUAGGAAAAUAAGAAGAAAUCACAUCAUAUCUCUGUUUAGAAACUGGUCUAAGAUGUUUAUAAAUGUUCAGAAAAAAUGUAAAUCUCCUUGGGUAAGCAGGCUUAGAUGAAACUAUGAGCUCAUGUUGGCAAAUGUGCAAGCUUUAGCAUUUAAGCCAAGUGCUUUAAAUCAAUCUGAGCUUCAAAAGGCAAUAGUUAAAAGUCAAGGUACGGUAGACAAAAAAAAUAUUUUCUUGACUGGAAGAGAUCUUCAUGAGACUCUUUACCAUGAAUUACCUAGAGAAAAUAACGUAAGGCAAUCUUUUUUUUUUUUUUCACUUUAAUUCAACUCAACAAAGAUGUAUUUAAUUCUACUAUAUGUAAGUAAAACUGAAGACAUAGAGUUGCAUAAAACAGUUCUGUCCCCAGACAGUCUAGCCAUGCAGGACAAAACACGUAUGGAGACACAAAGCGAAGUGUCAGGUUGCUGUGAGAGUUUAAAGAAGGGAGAUAGCCCAUCCUGUUGGAGGUCUCACCAAUAGCAUUGAGAAGGGAUUUGGAGGCAGCCAUAAAUUAAUAAACUGUACAUGAAGGAACUGGCUCAGAGAUUGAAAAUCACAGGACGUUUUAGGAAACUUUGGGUGGUGAGGUCUGGAUGGAGCACAGAAUCGGCGUGGGGAGUUAGAGGAAAAUUAGGGUCGGGGAGAAGAUUGGGAUGCUCUGAGCAAAACCAAGGCAAAGGAAGUUUAAGGCCAAUCAGCAACGUGUGUCUUCCAUCCUUUUCCUUUUCUUCUGCUGUGGAGGGUUCAUCCCUCUCCAGCCAACAGAACAAUGAUUCUGAACACACUCCCAAGAGGGACUUCUGGGCUGCAGGCACCUCCCCACGGUGGGCUGUGCACUUGGACCUGCUCCUGUCAGGGGGACUCGCCUUCUCAUCUGGCUUGGUGCCCAUCCUCCUGAGACCCCUCUUCCCAGCCUCUUCCCCUCUGCCACAUCCCCCGACGCCCUCCACCAGCCUUGUACCUUUCGUUCCUUUACCUCAUGGCUGAAAGUGACUGGUGGUAGAAAGACACCCAACCUCACUGCCCAAGUGCCCACCCACUUCCUUCACUGAUGGGCAACAGAGAUCCCUGAGGAGCAAGGGCUAAAGUGGGUUUAAUUUCACCUCAUGUCAGAGCUCAGCCCUAUUUAAUGCUUACUGUUCACUCUAUUUUUUCCCCUGCCAUUCACACUGUGCAAAGGAGCCUGUCAAUCACUGACUGAUUUUAAGCAGGAAAGUUUCAAAGAAAGCCCCCAGUACUUACCAAUGUUAAAGAAAAACAG
This 4760-nucleotide long non-coding RNA is filed under the name Homo sapiens (human). RNAcentral's name for it is "non-protein coding LINC01133:1". Lineage: Eukaryota; Metazoa; Chordata; Mammalia; Primates; Hominidae. The record is from RNAcentral.